GACGGAGGGUGCUAGCGUUGUUCGGAAUUACUGGGCGUAAAGGGCGCGUAGGCGGCCUGGUCAGUCGGGUGUGAAAGCCCGGGGCUCAACCCCGGAAUGGCACCCGAGAGGGUCAGGCUGGAGACCGGGAGAGGAGGGUGGAAUAGCCAGUGUAGAGGUGAAAUUCGUAGAUAUUGGCUGGAACACCGGUGGCGAAAGCGGCUCUCUGGGCCGGUUCUGACGCUGAGGCGCGAAAGCGUGGGGAGCAAACAGG
This 253-nucleotide ribosomal RNA is filed under the name uncultured bacterium. RNAcentral's name for it is "partial 16S ribosomal RNA". It matches the Rfam family "Bacterial small subunit ribosomal RNA", at positions 524 to 776 of the family's 1533-position model. The record is from RNAcentral.